Molecule: long non-coding RNA, 1189 nt
Filed under: Numida meleagris (helmeted guineafowl)
Lineage: Eukaryota; Metazoa; Chordata; Aves; Galliformes; Numididae
Description: lncRNA (ENSNMEG00000009764.1)
Source: RNAcentral
AUGCCUUUCCAGCAGUGGCAACCAUCUGCUCUCUGCUUACCUUCCCCAAAAGCCCUGCAGAUGGGAGAGAUGUCCGAGCCCACAUCCAACGUGCUGAUACGACGACUGAAGGAUGCUGAAGCUGAGCACGACCCGGAGGAGCUGGAUGUGCAAGACAGAAGCACCGGGGUAACCUUUGAAACAAAGGACUUCAAAGUGACAGCGGGCUGCAUCGCUGCCAACAGCGAGUCGAGCGGAACAUCGAGUGAUGGGCAGGAUGAAGAUGACCAGGACGAAACGUACUUCGCUGUUUCUUUGUCUCCCAAAGGAAUCAGGACCAGCAGGAAAAGGCCAAAGAUCAAGAGCGGGUGGUCCCCGGCACAGAAGAAAAUGAGAACACUGGAAGUGGCAGAAGAGCCAUUGCUCCCCGUGAAGGCGGAGGCUGUAAAAGUUGCAGCUCAGGAAAAGGAGAAGAGGGCAGAAGUAACGCAGGCAGUGACGGAGUCGUGUGAGUUCAUGGACACUGCCGUGCUGGUGGUUCUCAUCCUCGUGGCCUUCAUGGUCUUCACGCACCUCGCUCUGGCGGUGGUGGUAACGGUCUGCUGCUGAGCUUCAGCCUGGAAAGAAAGAGGCAGCACCCGUGUCAGCAGCGAGUGCAGAGCUGAAGAAUGUGUUUUUCUCUCCCUGCGAUGUGCACGAGCUCUUCUGGAGGUCAAUUAAAGGGCUGGGACGAGUGUGAGAAGUCGGUGAGUGGCGUGUGCCUGGUGCUUGCUCCGUGCACUGAUUCCAGGCUCCUGGCAACGUCACCUGCUCUGCUGCUCCUCCUCUGAAGCCCGGCUGGUUCAGAGCUGGGAGCUGUGUGUGACUUGGUGUUAACUGGGCCCCCUCCAGGCGGGAUCACCCCCAUCUUUGGGAAGGUCAAGCUCCUCGAUGCUCUGGUUGUAUUACAUCUUGGGAAGCACCAAGCUGGCAGGACGGGCAAUGGCUCUAACGUAAUACAAGCCAUGGAGGUUCAAGGAAGGGGUUACUAUAUCGUAACCACUCUGGGAAAAUAACCUUGCCCCUUCAAGGCUGGAAAUAUUAGUGAAAAGGGGGAAUGGUGACAGUGCCCAGUGCUGUUUUAGUGGGUCUUUGCUUUGGCAUACAAAUGUUCCUAAUUACUUCUCUUAAAAAUAAUAAAGUGGAGCGGGAGGAAGAGUGGAAGGGUCCA